AUAUGCCUUAUGGUGGGGGACAACAGUUGGAAACGACUGCUAAUACCGCAUAACGUCUACGGACCAAAGGGGGGGAUCUUCGGACCUCUCGCCAUUUGAUUAGCCCAAGUGAGAUUAGCUAGUUGGUGAGGUAAUGGCUCACCAAGGCGACGAUCUCUAGCUGGUUUGAGAGGAUGAUCAGCCACACUGGGACUGAGACACGGCCCAGACUCCUACGGGAGGCAGCAGUGGGGAAUAUUGCACAAUGGGCGAAAGCCUGAUGCAGCCAUGCCGCGUGUGUGAAGAAGGCCUUCGGGUUGUAAAGCACUUUCAGUUGUGAGGAAAGGGAUGUAGUUAAUAGCUGCAUUCUGUGACGUUAACAACAGAAGAAGCACCGGCUAACUUCGUGCCAGCAGCCGCGGUAAUACGAGGGGUGCAAGCGUUAAUCGGAAUUACUGGGCGUAAAGCGUUCGUAGGCGGUCUAUUAAGCAAGAUGUGAAAGCCCAGGGCUCAACCUUGGAACUGCAUUUUGAACUGGUAGACUAGAGUACUGUAGAGGGUGGUGGAAUUUCCAGUGUAGCGGUGAAAUGCGUAGAGAUUGGAAGGAACAUCAGUGGCGAAGGCGGCCACCUGGACAGAUACUGACGCUGAGGAACGAAAGCGUGGGGAGCGAACAG
This 656-nucleotide ribosomal RNA is filed under the name uncultured bacterium. RNAcentral's name for it is "bacterial SSU rRNA". It matches the Rfam family "Bacterial small subunit ribosomal RNA", at positions 124 to 775 of the family's 1533-position model. The record is from RNAcentral.